Molecule: ribosomal RNA, 460 nt
Filed under: uncultured bacterium
Lineage: Bacteria
Description: partial 16S ribosomal RNA
Rfam family: Bacterial small subunit ribosomal RNA
Source: RNAcentral
CCUACGAGGCGCUGCAGUGAGGAAUAUUGGUCAAUGGACGCAAGUCUGAACCAGCCAUGCCGCGUGCAGGAUGACGGCUCUAUGAGUUGUAAACUGCUUUUGUACGAGGGUAAACCCCGAUACGUGUAUCGGGUUGAAAGUAUCGUACGAAUACGGAUCGGCUAACUCCGUGCCAGCAGCCGCGGUAAUACGGAGGAUCCGAGCGUUAUCCGUAUUUAUUGGGUUUAAAGGGUGCUUAGGCGGUUUGAUAAGUUAGAGGUGAAAGUUCGGGGCUCAACCCCGAAACUUCCUCUAAUACUGUUGGACUAGAGAAUAGUUGCGGUAGGCGGAAUGUAUGGUGUAGCGGUGAAAUGCUUAGAGAUCAUACAGAACACCGAUUGCGAAGGCAGCUUACCAAACUAUAUCUGACGUUGAGGCACGAAAGCGUGGGUAGCAAACAGGAUUAGAUACCCGUGUAGUC